This 563-nucleotide ribosomal RNA is filed under the name uncultured bacterium. RNAcentral describes it as "bacterial SSU rRNA". It matches the Rfam family "Bacterial small subunit ribosomal RNA", at positions 338 to 916 of the family's 1533-position model. The record is from RNAcentral.
CCUACGGGAGGCAGCAGUGGGGAAUCUUGCGCAAUGGGGGGCAACCCUGACGCAGCCAUGCCGCGUGAAUGAUGAAGGCCUUAGGGUUGUAAAGUUCUUUUGCCCGUGACGAUGAUGACGGUAACGGGAGAAUAAGCUCCGGCUAACUUCGUGCCAGCAGCCGCGGUAAUACGAAGGGGGCUAGCGUUGUUCGGAAUUACUGGGCGUAAAGCGCGCGCAGGCGGUUCGAUAAGUUAGGGGUGAAAUCCCUGGGCUCAACCCAGGAAUGGCCUUUAAGACUGUCGAGCUAGAGGACGAGAGAGGUGAGUGGAAUUCCCAGUGUAGAGGUGAAAUUCGUAGAUAUUGGGAAGAACACCGGUGGCGAAGGCGGCUCACUGGCUCGUUUCUGACGCUGAGGCGCGAAAGCGUGGGGAGCAAACAGGAUUAGAUACCCUGGUAGUCCACGCCCUAAACGAUGAGUGCCAGGUGUCGGGAAGCUUAGCUUCUCGGCGCCGCAGCUAACGCCUUAAGCACUCCGCCUGGGGAGUACGGCCGCAAGGUUAAAACCUCAAAGGAAUUGACGG